GCAAGGUAAAUAAACCGCACGCCAAGGUAAAUAAAGCGCACGCCGCAGUAGAUCCCGAAUAUCUUCGUGGAAAAUGGUAAAUUAUUGCCGUGUUUUUGGCUGUACCAAUCGCUCAGACCGCGAAAAACAUUUGGAGUAUUACAGACUGCCAAAAGUUAUAACUAAUCAAGGAGAACAAUGCCAUAAGUUGUCAGAGGAAAGGAGGCGCUUGUGGUUAACGAAGCUGAACCAGGAUCUACGUGGCAAAAAUCUGGACAACGUCCGAAUUUGUUCGGCCCAUUUCUUGUCAGGUAAAAGGUCUGACCUUUAUCAAAAGGAUGACCCAGAUUGGGUGCCAUCUGUCGGAAUGACAGGUCAGCAAAGGUCUCCUGAAAAAGCUGGGACAUCAUCACGCUACAGCCGUCGUGGGAAUAGAACCCAGCAGAGACUGAGAGAAGCUGCUGCUGAUGCUGCUGCUGGUGCUGGAGUUGCUGCAGAGACUGAUGAUUCUGAGAUUGAUGACCCAGCUUUGUUCACCUGUCUGUUGUGCUCUGGUGAACCUUUGCCCAUCCAUUGUUGAUUUUGACUGAAGCAUAUUUUUAUAUGCACUUUGUCAAUAAAAAGACUAUAUAGCC
This is a long non-coding RNA of Gadus morhua (Atlantic cod), 614 nucleotides long. RefSeq lists it as uncharacterized. The record is from RefSeq and is a predicted model, not a curated record. Lineage: Eukaryota; Metazoa; Chordata; Actinopteri; Gadiformes; Gadidae. The transcript is spliced from 2 exons.